This 736-nucleotide ribosomal RNA is filed under the name uncultured beta proteobacterium. Its description in RNAcentral is "bacterial SSU rRNA". It matches the Rfam family "Bacterial small subunit ribosomal RNA", at positions 39 to 768 of the family's 1533-position model. Lineage: Bacteria; Pseudomonadati; Pseudomonadota; Betaproteobacteria. The record is from RNAcentral.
GCGGCAUGCCUUACACAUGCAAGUCGAACGGCAGCACGGGUGCUUGCACCUGGUGGCGAGUGGCGAACGGGUGAGUAAUACAUCGGAACAUGUCCUGUAGUGGGGGAUAGCCCGGCGAAAGCCGGAUUAAUACCGCAUACGAUCUAUGGAUGAAAGCGGGGGACCUUCGGGCCUCGCGCUAUAGGGUUGGCCGAUGGCUGAUUAGCUAGUUGGUGGGGUAAAGGCCUACCAAGGCGACGAUCAGUAGCUGGUCUGAGAGGACGACCAGCCACACUGGGACUGAGACACGGCCCAGACUCCUACGGGAGGCAGCAGUGGGGAAUUUUGGACAAUGGGCGAAAGCCUGAUCCAGCAAUGCCGCGUGUGUGAAGAAGGCCUUCGGGUUGUAAAGCACUUUUGUCCGGAAAGAAAUCCUUGGUUCUAAUAUAGCCGGGGGAUGACGGUACCGGAAGAAUAGGCACCGGCUAACUACGUGCCAGCAGCCGCGGUAAUACGUAGGGUGCGAGCGUUAAUCGGAAUUACUGGGCGUAAAGCGUGCGCAGGCGGUUUGCUAAGACCGAUGUGAAAUCCCCGGGCUCAACCUGGGAACUGCAUUGGUGACUGGCAGGCUAGAGUAUGGCAGAGGGGGGUAGAAUUCCACGUGUAGCAGUGAAAUGCGUAGAGAUGUGGAGGAAUACCGAUGGCGAAGGCAGCCCCCUGGGCCAAUACUGACGCUCAUGCACGAAAGCGUGGGGAG